Molecule: ribosomal RNA, 303 nt
Filed under: uncultured bacterium
Lineage: Bacteria
Description: partial 16S ribosomal RNA
Rfam family: Bacterial small subunit ribosomal RNA
Source: RNAcentral
AGCAGUAGCCGCGGGAAUACGUAGGUGGCAAGCGUUGUCCGGAAUUAUUGGGCGUAAAGGGCUCGCAGGCGGUUUCUUAAGUCUGAUGUGAAAGCCCCCGGCUCAACCGGGGAGGGUCAUUGGAAACUGGGAAACUUGAGUGCAGAAGAGGAGAGUGGAAUUCCACGUGUAGCGGUGAAAUGCGUAGAGAUGUGGAGGAACACCAGUGGCGAAGGCGACUCUCUGGUCUGUAACUGACGCUGAGGAGCGGAAGCGUGGGGAGCGAACAGGAUUAGAUACCCCCGUAGUCCCUGUCUCUUAUAC